This 332-nucleotide ribosomal RNA is filed under the name uncultured eukaryote. RNAcentral describes it as "partial 18S ribosomal RNA". It matches the Rfam family "Eukaryotic small subunit ribosomal RNA", at positions 1470 to 1796 of the family's 1831-position model. The record is from RNAcentral.
CCCUUAGAUGUUCUGGGCUGCACACGUGCUACACUGGCAGGUUCAGCGAGCUUCAUGCCCUGAUCUGAAAGGAAUGGGAAAUCUUUUCAAAACCUGCCGUGCUUGGGAUAGAUAUUUGCAAUUAUUCAUCUUCAACGAGGAUUGCCUUGUAAGCGCACGUCAUCAGCGUGCAUUGAAUACGACCCUGUAUUCUGUACACACCGCCCGUCGCUCCUACCGAUUGAAGUUUUCGGUGAGUUGACAGGAGGAUUUUUUUGAAACUGGUUCGCCAGUGGAUUUUAGAUCCAAAUGCCAACGAAUCGAUGGCUUUAGAGGAAGGAGAAGUCGUAACA